UCUCCCAUCUGUAUAAACUUGGAAUUAAAUGAAAGGCAGUUGAUGAGUCAAACAUAGAAAAAUGUUUUAAUUGUUCGGUGACAGACCGCCGACUUUUCUUCUCGUGGCCAAUUAGCACAUUGUCUAUAACCUAUAUGGAUGUCUCUUUUUCUUUUUUUUGUUUGCUGGAAGAUAAUGGGUUAAUAGAAGUAAGGUUUUGCGUUUAGGCAAGCGGUUGUAGUUCUGAACAAUGCAAAAAGAUAAUUAUGUAAAUAACAACAGAAACGUAUAUAGGGUGUCCCGCGUAUAUGUCAAAUUCAACAAACUUUUUUCUGUUCAAUAUUUUUAAGUUUUUCU
Non-coding RNA from Cinara cedri, 336 nucleotides. The record is from the annotation of a GenBank genome assembly. NCBI's taxonomy places the organism in Eukaryota, Metazoa, Arthropoda, Insecta, Hemiptera, Aphididae.